UACAGAGACUGCAAGCGUUAUUCGGAUUCACUGGGCGUAAAGGGUGCGCAGGCGGCCAAGUGUGUUAGGUGUGAAAGCCCGGGGCUUAACCCCGGAAUUGCACCUAAAACUACAUGGCUAGAGCAUUGGAGAGGGGAGCAGAACUCACGGUGUAGCAGUGAAAUGCGUAGAUAUCGUGAGGAAUACCAGAGGCGAAGGCGGCUCCCUGGACAAUUGCUGACGCUCAGGCACGAAAGCGUGGGGAGCAAAAGGG
This 253-nucleotide ribosomal RNA is filed under the name uncultured bacterium. RNAcentral describes it as "partial 16S ribosomal RNA". It matches the Rfam family "Bacterial small subunit ribosomal RNA", at positions 524 to 776 of the family's 1533-position model. The record is from RNAcentral.